Molecule: long non-coding RNA, 233 nt
Filed under: Hordeum vulgare
Lineage: Eukaryota; Viridiplantae; Streptophyta; Magnoliopsida; Poales; Poaceae
Description: long non-coding RNA (HVUL_LNC009736)
Source: RNAcentral
GUCGGGCACCGGCGGCUCGACGCGAGGGGGACCUCCAGGUCCCUGCCGGGAACAGCGACAACAGGCGGCAGGGGUUGUGGCCGGCGACGGUGCACAGUAGCAUUGCGGGCGCGGAGCAGAGCACGCGGGAAUGAAGGUAUCAGCGAGAAGCUGCAGGGCAAGCCGGUGAGGGAGAACGGAGAGGCGGGCCAUGGCAUGGCGGUGCUGGCGGGGGCCUCGGGUUCCUGGAGCUG